GCAUAUCAAUAAGCGGAGGAAAAGAAACCAACAGGGAUUGCCCUAGUAACGGCGAGUGAAGCGGCAACAGCUCAAAUUUGAAAUCUGGCCUCGGCCCGAGUUGUAAUUUGCAGAGGAAGCUUUAGGCGCGGCACCUUCUGAGUCCCCUGGAACGGGGCGCCAUAGAGGGUGAGAGCCCCGUAUAGUUGGAUGCCUAGCCUGUGUAAAGCUCCUUCGACGAGUCGAGUAGUUUGGGAAUGCUGCUCAAAAUGGGAGGUAAAUUUCUUCUAAAGCUAAAUACCGGCCAGAGACCGAUAGCGCACAAGUAGAGUGAUCGAAAGAUGAAAAGCACUUUGAAAAGAGGGUUAAAUAGCACGUGAAAUUGUUGAAAGGGAAGCGCUUGUGACCAGACUUGCGCCGGGCUGAUCAUCCGGUGUUCUCACCGGUGCACUCUGCCCGGCUCAGGCCAGCAUCGGUUCUCGCGGGGGGAUAAAGGCCCAGGGAACGUAGCUCCUCCGGGAGUGUUAUAGCCCUGGGUGUAAUGCCCUCGCGGGGACCGAGGUUCGCGCAUCUGCAAGGAUGCUGGCGUAAUGGUCACCAGCGACCCGUCUUGAAACACGGACCAAGGAGUCAAGGUUUUGCGCGAGUGUUUGGGUGUAAAACCCGCACGCGUAAUGAAAGUGAACGUAGGUGAGAGCUUCGGCGCAUCAUCGACCGAUCCUGAUGUUUUCGGAUGGAUUUGAGUAGGAGCGUUAAGCCUUGGACCCGAAAGAUGGUGAACUAUGCUUGGAUAGGGUGAAGCCAGAGGAAACUCUGGUGGAGGCUCGCAGCGGUUCUGACGUGCAAAUCGAUCGUCAAAUCUGAGCAUGGGGGGCGAAAGACUAAUCGAACCAUCUAGUAGCUGGUUACCGCCGA
This 894-nucleotide ribosomal RNA is filed under the name Arcopilus aureus. RNAcentral's name for it is "LSU rRNA". It matches the Rfam family "Eukaryotic large subunit ribosomal RNA", at positions 38 to 964 of the family's 3401-position model. The record is from RNAcentral. Lineage: Eukaryota; Fungi; Ascomycota; Sordariomycetes; Sordariales; Chaetomiaceae.